AUCUGGACCAAACCUCCUGACAAUUCUACCAAUGAUGGGGACUGCACCACGUGGUCGAAUGGUCAGAGGGCUCUCUGCUACGACUGCUAGCCAUGCAUGGCUGGCAUGCUUGCUAACCUGAAGAAUGGCUGGAAGAAGAUCAAUACUGUCAACAUCAUAUUCCUCAUCACCGUCUACUAUGUUUGGUGUUGCACUUUCAGGAACAAUAGGAAGGACAACUCUACCCAGCCUGUCAAUGCUUAG
RNAcentral lists this ribosomal RNA (243 nucleotides) under Triticum aestivum (bread wheat). RNAcentral's name for it is "partial small subunit ribosomal RNA". The record is from RNAcentral. Lineage: Eukaryota; Viridiplantae; Streptophyta; Magnoliopsida; Poales; Poaceae.